RNAcentral lists this ribosomal RNA (531 nucleotides) under Neobacillus fumarioli. RNAcentral describes it as "bacterial SSU rRNA". It matches the Rfam family "Bacterial small subunit ribosomal RNA", at positions 394 to 916 of the family's 1533-position model. Lineage: Bacteria; Bacillati; Bacillota; Bacilli; Caryophanales; Bacillaceae. The record is from RNAcentral.
ACGCCGCGUGAGCGAUGAAGGCCUUCGGGUCGUAAAGCUCUGUUGUUAGGGAAGAACAAGUAUCGGAGUAACUGCCGGUACCUUGACGGUACCUAACCAGAAAGCCACGGCUAACUACGUGCCAGCAGCCGCGGUAAUACGUAGGUGGCAAGCGUUGUCCGGAAUUAUUGGGCGUAAAGCGCGCGCAGGCGGUCCUUUAAGUCUGAUGUGAAAGCCCACGGCUCAACCGUGGAGGGUCAUUGGAAACUGGGGGACUUGAGUGCAGAAGAGGAAAGCGGAAUUCCACGUGUAGCGGUGAAAUGCGUAGAGAUGUGGAGGAACACCAGUGGCGAAGGCGGCUUUCUGGUCUGUAACUGACGCUGAGGCGCGAAAGCGUGGGGAGCAAACAGGAUUAGAUACCCUGGUAUUUCAUGCCGUAAACGAUGAGUGCUAAGUGUUAGAGGGUUUCCGCCCUUUAGUGCUGCAGCUAACGCAUUAAGCACUCCGCCUGGGGAGUACGGCCGCAAGGCUGAAACUCAAAUGAAUUGACGG